CGAGUGGGCGGGACGGGGUGGAGUAAUGUCUGGGAAACUGCCCGAUGGAGGGGGAUAACUACUGGAAACGGUAGCUAAUACCGCAUAACGUCGCAAGACCAAAGAGGGGGGACUUCGGGCCUCCUGCCAUCGGAUGUGCCCAGAUGGGAUUAGCUAGUAGGUGGGGUAACGGCUCACCUAGGCGACGAUCCCUAGCUGGUCUGAGAGGAUGACCAGCCACACUGGAACUGAGACACGGUCCAG
Molecule: ribosomal RNA, 243 nt
Filed under: uncultured bacterium
Lineage: Bacteria
Description: partial 16S ribosomal RNA
Rfam family: Bacterial small subunit ribosomal RNA
Source: RNAcentral